AGAACAGGCCUUUCAGGCAUCCUCUCCUAAGACUCAUGGGCCGGCCUCUUCGAGGCUGGCCCUUUUUUUUUGCGCGG
Molecule: small RNA, 77 nt
Filed under: Sphingobium sp. SYK-6
Lineage: Bacteria; Pseudomonadati; Pseudomonadota; Alphaproteobacteria; Sphingomonadales; Sphingobiaceae
Description: Makes More Granules Regulator RNA (mmgR)
Rfam family: Makes More Granules Regulator RNA (mmgR)
About the family: SuhB later renamed mmgR (makes more granules regulator) was a putative non-coding RNA found multiple times in the Agrobacterium tumefaciens genome and related alpha-proteobacteria. Other non-coding RNAs uncovered in the same analysis include: speF, ybhL, metA, and serC.
Source: Rfam by way of RNAcentral